GAAGCUUCCCAUUUCUCUCUCUCUCUGUCGCUUCCUGUUCAUCUUCAUCUUCUCUGAUUUUCAUCUUCAAAUCUUCGUAUUUUCAUGGUAUCAGAGCAGGAAAAAUCUUCCGAUCAUUCUCUAUUAUGUGUUAUCGAUACUUGCUGAAGUUUUUGCUGAAGUUUUUUUUCGGAUAUCUGAGGAAAAUACUGUUCAUUUAUUUUUCGAUGAAUGAUAAUCGGAUAAUCGGGACUUUUAUGACUUUUUGAGGCUCCGAUCAUGUACCACUAGAUGUUUUGGGUGAUUUUCCGACAUCUCUGGUCUUAUUCCAG
This 311-nucleotide long non-coding RNA is filed under the name Nicotiana benthamiana. RNAcentral's name for it is "long non-coding RNA (NBEN_LNC007772)". The record is from RNAcentral. Lineage: Eukaryota; Viridiplantae; Streptophyta; Magnoliopsida; Solanales; Solanaceae.